Molecule: transfer RNA, 85 nt
Filed under: Felis catus (domestic cat)
Lineage: Eukaryota; Metazoa; Chordata; Mammalia; Carnivora; Felidae
Rfam family: tRNA
About the family: Transfer RNA (tRNA) molecules are approximately 80 nucleotides in length. Their secondary structure includes four short double-helical elements and three loops (D, anti-codon, and T loops).
Source: Rfam by way of RNAcentral
GCCUGGGUGGCUCAGUCGGUUGAGCGUCCGACUUCAGCUCGGGUCACGAUCUCGCGGUGGGUGGGUUCGAGCCCCGCAUCAGACU